Molecule: ribosomal RNA, 537 nt
Filed under: Triticum aestivum (bread wheat)
Lineage: Eukaryota; Viridiplantae; Streptophyta; Magnoliopsida; Poales; Poaceae
Description: partial small subunit ribosomal RNA
Source: RNAcentral
CUUGACAAGGCCAAAGCCGCUGGCCAUAUUCACGGCAUCGUACCCCAUCUAGUCGGAGGGGGAGGGGUCUCCCUCCUACAAUAUGCGGAUGAUACCAUAAUAAUGGUGGAGGGAUCUGUUCAGGACAUUGCUAACCUGAAGUUCCUCCUCCUGUGCUUCCAACAGAUGUCGGGGCUAACUAUCAACUUCGAUAAGAGCGAAGUGAUGGUUCUUGGGUGUCCCCCGGAGGAAGCACAGGCUAUUGCGGACCGACUGAAUUGUCGGUUGGGUUCUUUCCCCACGACCUACCUGGGGAUCCCCAUUAGUGAUUCGCGCCUAACCGUGGCGGACCUUCGCCCCACGGUGACCCGGAUGCGACAUCGGGUUGAGCCCUGGAAAGGGCGCUGGCUGUCGAAGGCUGCUGGCGUGAUCCUCAUUAACUCCUCGCUUGCCAGCCUUCUUUGGUUCCUCAUGAGCUUCUAUAGCCUUCAUGAGACGCUUCAUCAGGAAAUCGCCAAAUACCAAUCUAGAUUUUUCUGGGCUGGUGAGGGUGACAAG